This is an RNA transcript of Mus musculus (house mouse), 2015 nucleotides long. It is a transcript of the gene named zinc finger, CCHC domain containing 9, with no coding region annotated. The record is from RefSeq and is marked validated. NCBI's taxonomy places the organism in Eukaryota, Metazoa, Chordata, Mammalia, Rodentia, Muridae. The transcript is spliced from 6 exons.
GGAGACGGUGCACUUCCGGUCUCUAUGGCCGCGAUCUCAUCCGGGGCCGGGCUUCUCUGGUUCGUUGUCUCAGCUGCUCUGGAGGAUUCAGACCCGAUUAGUGGAGUACCUCUGAUCCAACCAUGACCAGGUGGGCUAGAGUUACUACUUCAAAUAGUAAGCGACCCCUGUCAGCAACAUCAUGGGAGGACAUGAAGAAGGGGUCUGUGGAGAGAGCAGACCAAAGCCUUCCAAAUCGUAAGCAGUGUCAAAGCAGUAGGCUGCCCCUUAGAAAUGACUCACCUCAAGCAAAACGCAAAAAGAACAAAAAGAAAAAAGAGUACUUGAAUGAAGACGUGAACGGCUUCAUGGAGUACCUGAAGCAGAACUCACAGGUACUUCACAAUGGACAGCUGAUAGCAGCUGACAGCCAGGAAGUGAGGGAAGAAAUUGCCGUGGCCUUAAAGAAGGACAGUCGACGGGAAGGAAGGCGGCUAAAGAGACAGGCGGCAAAGAAGAAUGCAAUGGUGUGUUUCCAUUGUCGACAACCUGGCCACGGAAUUGCUGACUGUCCAGCUGUACUAGAGAGUCAGGACAUGGGCACCGGCAUUUGUUACCGCUGUGGGUCCACGGAGCACGAGAUGUCCAAGUGCAGAGCUAACGUAGACCCCGCGCUUGGUGAAUUUCCUUUUGCAAAAUGUUUUGUCUGCGGAGAAAUGGGACACCUGUCCAGAUCCUGCCCUGAUAAUACCAAAGGAGUCUAUGCUGAUGGUUAGCAGGACAGGCAGAUAGAAGGCACUAAGACAGAUUUGCCUGAGUAAGUGACUGCCCCGUCUGACCUGUAAGGUAGAGGGGUGGUGCUGACUAACCUCUUGGGGGCCACUGGAUAGAAACUGGCAUCCUCCUCAGGGUGCAGACAUAAGUUAUGUCCCCAGGUGAAAGCUGCACACCUCGCCUCCCUCUCCAUGGUCCCCUCUAGACUUCUGUGCCUCCUGUCAUGUUCCUCUUCUCACGCCCGUCUAGAAGGUCAGGUAUAAGGAGGAACAGCUGGUACCAAUGAGUGUUUUGAAAUUCAGGAGUGGCAAAUGAGUUCCUAAAAGGAGUAGUGGCACCCACCCUGCUUCCUGACCCGGGCUACCUUUACAGUCAUCGGGGAUUGGGAUCAAAUAAGACAUGAGAUUGCGCGUCAGUGUUACAAGCCCUGUUGGGAUGAUAUGGGACUCGGUGACUCUGCUCUUUUACUAGGUGGCAGCUGUAAACUCUGUGGCUCCGUGGAACAUUUUAAGAAAGAUUGCCGAGAAAAUCAGAACUCAGAUCGGAUCAUCACGGUUGGUCGCUGGGCAAAGGGUAUGAGUGCAGACUAUGAAGACGUGCUGGAUGUGCCCAAACUGCAGAAACCUAAAACCAAAGUACCCAAAGUUGUUAAUUUUUGAUACUAAUUGGUACAAUUGUUAAUUACCACCUCAAGGUUACUUUCCAAACUCAGCCUUUAGCGAUUGAAGCUGGGCAACUGUGGAGGCAAAGCUGUGUUAUAGACACCACUCUGACCUUGGUAGCUUGCCUACAAUCAAUCUAUCAAGGCGUACAGGUUGAUUAAUUACACUCUCUAGAAAUGUGUGUGUGUGUGUGUGUGUGUGUGUGUGUGUGUGUGUGUGUGUGUGUGUGUGUGGUCUAUCUAUCUCUCUGUGCCUGUGUGUCUGUCUGUAUUUGAAGCAGAUUCUAUGUAGCCCAGGUUGGCUUCACACUAAUAACCGUGCUCCAGCAUCCAGAGUACUGUGCCUAAGAGCAUAUUUUACAGAUGGAACUUAGAAAUGACUAAAUGCCUCUAUACCUGAUUAUAGCAGUCAUCACUAUAAAUGUAAAUUAUGAAUCAAAAUUGACCCCUAAACAAAGCACAUGCCUUUCAGCUUGUGAAUCAAAAAAUAUUUUGUUAUAUGCUCUUAAUUCAGAGUAUCAAUUUUUUGUAAUAGAAAUUUAUUUAUAUGUUGUCACAAAAUCUGUAAUUCUUAGUACUGAAUAAAAUUAUAUCAGCUGUU